CAAGGCUUAAGCAUGAUGGUCCUGGUCUUCUGUCAAUGUCAAUUGCUGAUCGUGACACUUUUGGUUCUCAUUUUAUUGUUAGCUUUAAGGCUAAUCAUCAUCUUGAUAGGAAGUAUGUAGUCUUUGGGAAGCUUGUGCAAGGAGAUGAAGUGCUGAAAAAGAUUGAAAGUGUAGGUGAUGAAGAAGGGAGGCCAUUGGUAACUGUAAAAAUAAUCAAUUGUGGUGAAUUUGAGGGUGUGGACAAGAAGAAAGUACAUAAACUGAAAACUGGAAAGGAUGCUUUAUCUGAUUCUGAUAGUCAUGAAGCACGUAAGAAGGGAAGGCACAAGAAAUUUUCAAGAGAUAGAAAGAAGAGGAGAAAAAGAUAUGAUUCGUCUGAGUCAGAGAGUUCAUCUGAUCCAGAUAUGGGAUCAUCUGAGUCUGAUAGUGAUUCUGACUCGUAUAUAUCCUCCUCUUCUGAGAUUAGUUCCUCAAGUGAUGACAGGCGCAAGAAAAGAAAAAGAUCUUCUAAAAGAGACAAGUAUAGACG
Molecule: unclassified non-coding RNA, 529 nt
Filed under: Hevea brasiliensis (rubber tree)
Lineage: Eukaryota; Viridiplantae; Streptophyta; Magnoliopsida; Malpighiales; Euphorbiaceae
Source: RNAcentral